This 253-nucleotide ribosomal RNA is filed under the name uncultured bacterium. Its description in RNAcentral is "partial 16S ribosomal RNA". It matches the Rfam family "Bacterial small subunit ribosomal RNA", at positions 524 to 776 of the family's 1533-position model. The record is from RNAcentral.
GACGAACCGUGCAAACGUUAUUCGGAAUCACUGGGCAUAAAGGGCGCGUAGGCGGCUCCAAAAGUCAGGGGUGAAAUCCGGCAGCUUAACUGUCGCAGUGCCUUUGAUACUGUGGAGCUAGAGGGAGGUAGGGGUCUGUGGAACUUCCGGUGGAGCGGUGAAAUGCGUUGAUAUCGGAAGGAACGCCGGUGGCGAAAGCGACGGACUGGAUCUCUUCUGACGCUGGGGCGCGAAAGCCAGGGGAGCAAACGGG